GGGUAAUCCUGAGCCAAAUCCUAAGUAUG
Molecule: transfer RNA, 29 nt
Filed under: Paepalanthus camptophyllus
Lineage: Eukaryota; Viridiplantae; Streptophyta; Magnoliopsida; Poales; Eriocaulaceae
Description: partial tRNA-Leu
Source: RNAcentral